This 517-nucleotide ribosomal RNA is filed under the name uncultured bacterium. RNAcentral's name for it is "bacterial SSU rRNA". It matches the Rfam family "Bacterial small subunit ribosomal RNA", at positions 64 to 553 of the family's 1533-position model. The record is from RNAcentral.
GUGGGUUCAAGUUUUCGGACGAGAACCUGCGGGUGAGAGUGGCGAAAGGGUGAGUAGCGCGUGGGUAAUCUACCUCCAAGUUCGGGACAACCCCGCGAAAGCGGGGCUAAUACCGGAUGUGGAUGUCUUGCGCAUGUAGGAACAUCUGAAGGCGGGGACCCUUCGGGGCCUGUCGCUUGGAGAGGGGCCCGCGUCCUAUCAGCUUGUUGGUGAGGUCACGGCUCACCAAGGCUUACGGGUAGCUGGUCUGAGAGGAUGGUCAGCCACACUGGGACUGAGACACUGCCCAGACUCCUACGGGAGGCUGCAGUCGAGGAUCAUUCGCAAUGCGCGAAAGCGUGACGAUGCGACGCUGCGUGGAGGAUGAAGGCCUUCGGGUCGUAAACUCCUGUCACUCGGGAACAACGGGCCGGUUCCGAACAGGGGCCGGAUGUGAUAGUACCGAGAGAGGAAGCCACGGCUAACUCUGUGCCAGCAGCCGCGGUAAGACAGAGGUGGCAAGCGUUGUUCGGAUUUA